Non-coding RNA from Camellia sinensis, 467 nucleotides. NCBI's taxonomy places the organism in Eukaryota, Viridiplantae, Streptophyta, Magnoliopsida, Ericales, Theaceae. The record is from RefSeq and is a predicted model, not a curated record.
AAACCCAACCCAUAUUUCAUAAAAAGUCAAAAAGUGCACUUAUUUAGUCUUCCCAAACUAGGCCUAAAUGUCUUCCUGGAUUACAGGUGGCCUCCCGGAUGGUGUCAGCCUUCUCUAGAUGGAAGCGAUAUGAUGAAACCCGACAAAGCCUUGCUAAGGCGCAGUUGGAGAUGAUCAUGUCGGCCAAUGGACUUUCAGAAAAUGUGUUUGAAAUUGCCUCGAAAAGCUUGGCUGCUUAGAAAAGGGUGGUUUUUACCUGUUUAUUAUACAAGAGGGCAAGAAUCUAAGCUUGUGUGUUUUCGCUUCAACUAGUAGUCACAGAGAGAUACUAAACCAUAUUAUAACAUUUCUUGUGAGAUUUAAUAAAUAUAUGUUUUGGAAUCAACAAAUUGGAGUGCUUCUUUUGUAAGAUGAUGACCAUUCAAAAUUUCAGUGCACUUCACGCAGUUGCUUGUUUUUCCUUUUUA